Molecule: ribosomal RNA, 139 nt
Filed under: Prevotella sp.
Lineage: Bacteria; Pseudomonadati; Bacteroidota; Bacteroidia; Bacteroidales; Prevotellaceae
Description: partial 16S ribosomal RNA
Rfam family: Bacterial small subunit ribosomal RNA
Source: RNAcentral
ACAAUGUAGAGUUUGAUCCUGGCUCAGGAUGAACGCUAGCUACAGGCUUAACACAUGCAAGUCGAGGGGCAGCAUGAAGGAAGCUUGCUUCCUUUGAUGGCGACCGGCGCACGGGUGAGUAACGCGUAUCCAACCUGCC